Molecule: ribosomal RNA, 497 nt
Filed under: uncultured bacterium
Lineage: Bacteria
Description: partial 16S ribosomal RNA
Rfam family: Bacterial small subunit ribosomal RNA
Source: RNAcentral
GAUGAACGCUGGCGGCGUGCCUAAUACACGCAAGUCGAGCGAACAGACGAGGAGCUUGCUCCUCUGACGUUAGCGGCGGACGGGUGAGUAACACGUGGAUAACCUACCUAUAAGACUGGGAUAACUUCGGGAAACCGGAGCUAAUACCGGAUAAUAUAUUGAACCGCAUGGUUCAAUAGUGAAAGACGGUUUUGCUGUCACUUAUAGAUGGAUCCGCGCCGCAUUAGCUAGUUGGUAAGGUAACGGCUUACCAAGGCAACGAUGCGUAGCCGACCUGAGAGGGUGAUCGGCCACACUGGAACUGAGACACGGUCCAGACUCCUACGGGAGGCAGCAGUAGGGAAUCUUCCGCAAUGGGCGAAAGCCUGACGGAGCAACGCCGCGUGAGUGAUGAAGGUCUUCGGAUCGUAAAACUCUGUUAUUAGGGAAGAACAAAUGUGUAAGUAACUGUGCACGUCUUGACGGUACCUAAUCAGAAAGCCACGGCUAACUACGUG